ACACUCCUACGGGAGGCAGCAGUGGGGAAUAUUGCACAAUGGGCGCAAGCCUGAUGCAGCCAUGCCGCGUGUAUGAAGAAGGCCUUCGGGUUGUAAAGUACUUUCAGCGGGGAGGAAGGCGAUAAGGUUAAUAACCUUGUCGAUUGACGUUACCCGCAGAAGAAGCACCGGCUAACUCCGUGCCCGCAGCCGCGGUAAUACGGAGGGUGCAAGCGUUAAUCGGAAUUACUGGGCGUAAAGCGCACGCAGGCGGUCUGUCAAGUCGGAUGUGAAAUCCCCAGGCUCAACCUGGGAACUGCAUUCGAAACUGGCAGGCUAGAGUCUUGUAGAGGGGGGUAGAAUUCCAGGUGUAGCGGUGAAAUGCGUAGAGAUCUGGAGGAAUACCGGUGGCGAAGGCGGCCCCCUGGACAAAGACUGACGCUCAGGUGCGAAAGCGUGGGGAGCAAACAGGAUUAGAAACCCGGGUAGUCCCAUGA
This 476-nucleotide ribosomal RNA is filed under the name uncultured organism. RNAcentral describes it as "partial 16S ribosomal RNA". It matches the Rfam family "Bacterial small subunit ribosomal RNA", at positions 333 to 800 of the family's 1533-position model. The record is from RNAcentral.